Molecule: ribosomal RNA, 250 nt
Filed under: uncultured bacterium
Lineage: Bacteria
Description: partial 16S ribosomal RNA
Rfam family: Bacterial small subunit ribosomal RNA
Source: RNAcentral
ACGUAGGCAGCAAGCGUUGUUCGGAAUUACUGGGCGUAAAAAGUGCGUAGGCGGUGCUCUAAGUUUGGUGUGAAAUCUCCCGGCUCAACUGGGAGGGUGCGCCGAAGACUGGAGUGCUUGAGUAUGGGAGAGGAAAGCGGAAUUCCUGGUGUAGCGGUGAAAUGCGUAGAUAUCAGGAGGAACACCUGCGGUGUAGACGGCUUUCUGGACCAUGACUGACGCUGAGGCACGAAAGCGUGGGGAGCAAACA